RNAcentral lists this ribosomal RNA (253 nucleotides) under uncultured bacterium. Its description in RNAcentral is "partial 16S ribosomal RNA". It matches the Rfam family "Bacterial small subunit ribosomal RNA", at positions 524 to 776 of the family's 1533-position model. The record is from RNAcentral.
UACAGAGACUGCAAGCGUUAUUCGGAUUCACUGGGCGUAAAGGGUGCGCAGGCGGCCGAGUGUGUGAGGCGUGAAAGCCCGGGGCUUAACCCCGGAAUUGCACCUCAAACUACACGGCUAGAGCAUUGGAGAGGGUAGCAGAAUUCAUGGUGUAGCAGUGAAAUGCGUAGAUAUCUGGAGGAAUACCGGUGGCGAAGGCGGCAUCCUGGACCGACAUUGACGCUGAGGAGCGAAAGCUAGGGGAGCAAACGGG